This 301-nucleotide ribosomal RNA is filed under the name uncultured bacterium. RNAcentral describes it as "partial 16S ribosomal RNA". It matches the Rfam family "Bacterial small subunit ribosomal RNA", at positions 509 to 807 of the family's 1533-position model. The record is from RNAcentral.
CAGCAGCCACGGGAAUACAGAGGGUGCAAGCGUUAAUCGGAAUUACUGGGCGUAAAGCGCGCGUAGGUGGUUUGUUAAGUUGGAUGUGAAAUCCCCGGGCUCAACCUGGGAACUGCAUCCAAAACUGGCAAGCUAGAGUAUGGUAGAGGGUGGUGGAAUUUCCUGUGUAGCGGUGAAAUGCGUAGAUAUAGGAAGGAACACCAGUGGCGAAGGCGACCACCUGGACUGAUACUGACACUGAGGUGCGAAAGCGUGGGGAGCAAACAGGAUUAGAUACCCCCGUAGUCCCUGUCUCUUAUAC